UACAGAGGGGGCGAGCGUUGUUCGGAAUUACUGGGCGUAAAGGGCGCGUAGGCGGCCCGCUAAGUCGAACGUGAAAUCCCCAGGCUCAACCUGGAAACUGCGUCCGAUACUGGCAGGCUUGAAUCCGGGAGAGGGAUGUGGAAUUCCAGGUGUAGCGGUGAAAUGCGUAGAUAUCUGGAGGAACACCGGUGGCGAAGGCGGCAUCCUGGACCAACACUGACACUGAGGCGCGAAAGCUAGGGGAGCAAACGGG
RNAcentral lists this ribosomal RNA (253 nucleotides) under uncultured bacterium. RNAcentral's name for it is "partial 16S ribosomal RNA". It matches the Rfam family "Bacterial small subunit ribosomal RNA", at positions 524 to 776 of the family's 1533-position model. The record is from RNAcentral.